UGGGGAAUAUUGGACAAUGGGCGAAAGCCUGAUCCAGCAAUUCCGCGUGUGUGAAGAAGGCCUUCGGGUUGUAAAGCACUUUAGUGGGGGAAGAAACAGCUUGGCCACACCAAGCCUUGACGGUACCCCAAGAAUAAGCACCGGCUAACUCUGUGCCAGCAGCCGCGGUAAUACAGAGGGUGCAAGCGUUAAUCGGAUUUACUGGGCGUAAAGGGUGCGUAGGUGGUAUUUUAAGUCGGAUGUGAAAGCCUGGGGCUCAACCUCAGAAUUGCAUUCGAUACUGGGAAACUAGAAUUCGGUAGAGGGCGGCGGAAUUUCCGGUGUAGCGGUGAAAUGCGUAGAUAUCGGAAGGAACAUCAAUGGCGAAGGCAGCCGCCUGGGCCUGGACUGACACUGAGGCACGAAAGCGUGGGUAGCAAACA
Molecule: ribosomal RNA, 422 nt
Filed under: uncultured bacterium
Lineage: Bacteria
Description: partial 16S ribosomal RNA
Rfam family: Bacterial small subunit ribosomal RNA
Source: RNAcentral